CAGAGGAGAGUAGAGUGACUUAAGAGUAUUUCACGGUUCAGACUGUAAAGAUUUACACAGUUUUUUAUGGGUUAAAGAGGCUCCUGUUUAAGCAGCUUUUUGCCGAGGAACAUUGUUAAAGUACAUGGAUGAAAGUGGCGUCCUACUUCAGCAGCUAGGCUGAAGAUAAUUUAGUCAGCAUUACUUGCAAUUAUGGCUAGACAAAACACUACAGUGUACUUCCUCUGAGAUUUGUUUCUGCAGAUAAGGUUCUGACUGAAGUAGUUUCGGUUCAGGAUCAGACAUUGAACGUUUUUACUUCGAAUAGUGACUUUUGACUAAUUUUUGCAUUCUUCCAGUGUAUCUAAAAAGCAUUUUUUUAAAGAAGCUGCUCCUCAGUAAAUUGUUUAAGUUUAUAAAUGUGUAUUUUUACGACUUCAAGGGCAGAUUUUUUUGAAAGUCAUCUGCUGAUCAAGACUAUGUGCUCAUACAAAGUCUGUCUGUUCCCGUGUUCUUCCUGUUUGUGUUUGGCUUUGUUUCCCCCUUUCUUUAAAGGGGUGUGUCUGCCCUCAGUAAUCCUACACCAUUAACACAUUGAGGUUACUGUAACUGGCUAAACAGCCUCGACCAGUGAGUGCAGGGACUCUUAGUCGUACUCACACCCACAUGCCAUGUGUUGGCUGUCUGAGUCAAGGAGAUGCAUGCCUUUCCGUUGUGCUUCACUACUACGCAAGAAGGAAAAGAUGAAAAACGGAGAAGAAAAACAGGUGUGUGCGGGACAGGAGUAAUGUCAUAGCAAAAUGAAAAGUCUACUGGGCAAGUUGGAAAAACCCCUCAAGAGACACAGAGGAGAAAAAAUGUAGACAGCGAGAGGGAGAGGGCAUAAUAGAACCACCCAAACUUCCCAAACCACCCAAUCAAGCUGCGUUCUUGGAAUUGGAUCCCUCCCUUGCUCACCACCUGAGAGCAGAGAAACAGAGCAGUGCCUCAGAGGCUCAGAGGAGCAAGAAACACACACAGAGGAAGAAACAAAGCACAGGUGACAACGAAAACAGGGCACACAUGGAGAAGACAGCCGAAGUUUUAUAGAAAACAAAGAGUGCCUCUCAAAAAAGAAGAAGAUACAGAGAUUUUUGUUUUACAUUCGAAUGAGAGAGAGGGUGAGAAAGAGACUCUGGAGACAAGAACCUGAACUCUCAGGAGUGCUGCGGAUCUGUAACAACAAAGCAAUGAGCUGACAUUCUCUGCUUUGAAUGAACACAACAUAGAGGAAAGAGACCCCCGUGAGAAGAAACUGGAAACCAAAAUGCGGACAAAAAGGAGAUGAAGAAGAAAAUAACAGGGAUUUAAAGACUGGCUGAACAGCCCUUUUGAAUCUUGCGCUUUUUUUUUUUUUUUUGUGAAUUAUCUUUUUAAUUUUUUGUCUAGCUGAGUCUACAGUCAGAAUCAUCAUGUAGUGUCUCUUUGCUCGCUCUGAGUAGGGCCAGGUUUGGACAUCAAAAUACCAAGUGUGUGUUGAGUCCAGUAGUUGAGACAUGUCUCUGGAAGACGUAAGAAGCUUCACCAGCGUCGGUGCUGAAAGUGCUGCUUCAGACCACUGCAACGGCCACUCUCUGAGCAAAGUGGAGGAACAGAAUCUCCAAAGCCAAGGCCAGGAUGGGAUCGUCCUGGAGCGUAUUGCUUCUCUGUCAAUGGACAUGUUUGACCCCAGUGACUUCACUGGGAGGUUCACUAAGAUCCAGUCUAGAUCCAGAAAAAGGACAAACAUCAUCAGAGGUAGGUGCAGAAAGCUUGGGAAGUUUUGGUUCUAAUUGGUCAUAUUAAGGGGAAUAUUAGAGGAAACAGUUCAGGUCAGUUUGAAGAUAUAUUGUGAAUUUACACGACCUGAGGGUUUCCUGAAACUGGAAAUGAGAGAUUAGUUAAACAUCCUGCUAAAAUGAUGAUCCUGCUUUCCCCAGUUGGACUAUAAUGGGCUGUUUUUUAAGCAAUCUGAGCUCUUUUAAUAUUUUUGGAUUUCCCCCUACCUGGUUAGACCGCGACUGCCUUUCCCUGUAAACUGAACAAAGUUCUCUCUGCUGUCAGUUGAGGACUAGGCUUGACAAGAGUCUUUGUUGUGGCUUUAGUAGACCCGGUGAAAAGUGAUACCUCCUGUGUUUUUGACAAAAGAAACUCCACUAAUCCAAGCAGUGGGGGGGAAAAUUUAGCCUCAGUUUAUCAAAAAAACUUAACCUCAGCUCAUCCUAACUUCCGGGUAUUAUCACAAAACGUCUAAAUCAAACCAUGCACAACUCCAGGGUUUUAGUAAGUAGCCAGUGUUGAUACAGUUUUAGUUCUUUAACUCAAAACUCUUGACAGUCCCGUUAUCGUUGGAAGCAUGGUCUAACUUGUACCCACCAAGUUGCAGACUAACAUAUUAAUCAGAGAAGUUUUCCCUCUGUCCUUCUCUUAAACUUUCGUCAUUGUCAUCACUUUAUCUGUCAGUUUCUCAAUGAGAAAUAGAUAUUGUGUUUCUAUCUGUAGUUUCAGAUUAAACACAAGGAUACAAUCCUAAAAAACUCAUUAAACUGGUUCGUUACAGCUUUCUUUACGAUAGAACGUGUUUGUGAGGAAAGGCCAGAAGAUUUAUAGUGCAAGAUAUAGCUGUUAGGGGAAGCAGAGGGGUCCUGACUAUCAUCUUUUAUGUGACUUUACAUUUUUCUGUGGGAUUUGGCUGAACUCACAGACAAGAGAGACAAGUAGGCGUACACAUAUAACUGGAGUGAGGUAGGGCCUGCGUUACCAAGUACCACUUGCACAAACACGUCUUUCAAAAGAAAUUAACAGACGCAAAGGUUGAAUUCUGACACAGUUUACUGCAAAAUUAAGUAUUACGGGACCUCUCUGCUGUCAUAAUGUACAGGAGUGAAGCUUUGAUGUUGCAGAGACAGGUAUGCCCGGUAUGAAAACUGCUGACACACGUGCACAUUCUUCACUAAAGUUAUCUAUUUGAUCAACCCAGCUGUGUCAAGGAGACACCACAGUGUGAGCCGUGAGCCUCAAACAGUCCCCUCUGUGUCUGUGUAGUGUUUGUGUCUUCUGUGUUAUGGUGAGAAGUUCACACCCACAACAAUGAACAUGGGCACAUGUUUAGUGCACCGACAUUGACCAGAGCCGCCAACAGCUGCUCUCUUGAUCAUUUACCAGGUUACUUCAAACAAGUCUGUUGGCAACCAUUGUCAUCAUGAUGAUUGAUUGAUUGAUUGAUUCAUAUGUAAGUUUACAUCGUAUACCCUUUAUUUUCCUUUGUUUUGAUGAGGAUUUUUGGCUAACUUAUUAGCUUUCCCAAUAUCCUUUAAGUAUCAAAAAGAAUAUACUUCAAUCACUAUACUUGAAUUGUACUUAGAUUCAAAAGCAGAUAACCUUCUCCCAUUUAUCAUUGGAAACAGUCUACUGUGAAGAAUGAAUCAUGGCCAAGGCUGUAGUUAGUUCACUACUUAAUCAAGGUUUCAUUUCAUACCCAUAGGUCCUUAGAAAAAAGGAAAUAUGUGAGUGAGGUUCGAAAUUAAUAUAUUCAUAUGUUAUGUCAUGUUAUUUAUUACCUUUAGGCACAUCAAUAUUAAACCACAUCUGCAAUAAUUGUGGAAAUAAUAACCCAACUGAGGUGUUAAAUGGCUUAUUUCACUCUAAAAAACUCCCAGAAAGCUCAGUCGACUAGUUAUCAGCAGAGGUUUGUGGCUGGGAUUUGAAAUAGUGAUGAUGACUGUGGCCUCUGUUAAUGACUUUAACCAAUGAGCUAAACUUACUAACAGCUUAACUGUUAUAAAUAUGAGGAUUUGCUGUUUUUGCCAUGAAGAAGAUAAACAAUUUUGUGGUUUUAAAUUUGCAAAAUUGACAGCUUUAAAUUUGGAAAUCUGUGAUAAGCAUUUCCCUCAAUUUUUUACACAACUUUUUUUAAAGUUAGUAAUUAAUAAUGAAGUAAUUAAUUGUUAGAUUUGCCAAUCAGAAGAAAAACUCAGCCAUGGUCAGAUUGCCUCUUUUUUGAGUACCUUACCUUGGUUUAGUUCUGACACUAUUGAUUUCAGGCAGCUAAUGGGAAUAAUUUACUGUAUACUCUUCAAUAGAAGAGGGCGACCUCGAUGCCAAUGUACAGAGAUCUUUCCAGUUAUUUCUUCUUAAUUCUGAUCGGCUUUUUGAUUGGUUAGGAUGAAUAUCAUAUUUUGCAGAUUAUGGCUGAUGCAUUUUACCAUGUGUGUUUGAAAUGAGCGCGUGUACAGCUGUGUUUUUGUGUGUGUGUGCGUGUGUGUGUGUGUGUGUGUGUGUGUGUGUGUGUGUGUGGAGGAGUCACAUUCCAACAGCUGAGGCCCAGCAGAAUGUGAGGAAUCCUGGGAGCUCCACAAGGGUGUGUGUGUGUGUGUGUGUGUGUGUGUGUUUAUCUGUGAUAUUUGUAGGCUGAAUAAAUGUGGGUCCCUUGAUGUAAGAAAAAAGUCCCUUUUCUCAUCGUAGGUCAUGCAUUUGAAUACAUUUCCAUAAGCUGGACAAGAGUUUCGCAUGACACAGCAAACACUAGCCCUCAGGAAAACAUCUCAUUUACAGCUGCACCAUAAGUUAAGAACUUGGGCCACGAAAAGUAAAACUUCAUUUGUUCUUUUUUUCCCUUGUGAAAGAGGAAUAAUCAACUCAAAGAACUGAGUGGGGCUAGAUGCCAAAAAUCAGACCUCACUUAAAUAUCUUAAAUAACCUUUUAAGCAAGUUGAAAACCACUGUACACUGGAUGUUUUGGCAGUCCCAGGAGAUCAUUUGGAAAACCAACUUGACCACAGAGGCUGAAAAUGCUAUUUGUUGGUGCUACUUUAUCCAUGACUGUAAUGAGAUAAGCAGAAGUUGUGGACAAGAAUAGGCCCCUUCUAUAUUUCUCCUCCUUUGAGAUUAGACAGUAAUUGUCUGUUAAUAUGAACCAGGCCAUCCUGUGCUCAUCAGCUCUCCUCUGAGCUGCAGCUUUUGCAUGAUACUGUAUUUUAUGCACCUUCUGCUCCUCCCUUCCUCUCUCUCUCUUUCUCUCUCAGUAUCAGCUCCCCCUCCCUCACCCAUUUGCAUGUCCUGUGGCACUUCCGCAGUUCAUCCAGGGAAUUACAGGAUGACCCUAAUUAUCCACUUGUACUUCCACUCGAAAUCAUUGAACCAAUGCAUCAUUGCCGUGAUGGCCAUCAUACCUCUCUGCUCGGACAGCCCAGGGGAAAAUGUGAAGGUUUAAGGUAGAUGGAAAGAAGUUAUUUCCUCCCAUCACUGUUUGAGUGAUUGGUUGAGACUUAAACUGCAGCAGCAGGGUUCAAGGUUAAAUUCAGCCGUUAGUAAAGAGCUUUGUUUAGUUACUGAAGCUCUAAUGUAAGUCAUAUAUAAGCCAGUGAGAUGAUAAGAUUUUUUUUUUGCUCAAAUCUCUAAACAAUAAUAAAAGAUAUAUAUUUACGUGUGCAAAAUCAGCUGUCUUAAUUUACGCCAUGUCUGUUUCUAUUCUUUGACAUUACACAGCUGAGAACAGGAGAUGGCUUGCUUGAAAAACAAAGCAUUUAUACCCUUACUGUAGUUCACUGACAUGCAUGUGGCACUUGCCUGUAUAAGGUAAUAGGGCUGGGGCAAUAUGCUUUUCUCCUGAUUCGAUUCUUCUAUGAUUUUUUUGGAUGCCAAUUCUACAAUAUUGUCAAUUUUCUUGAUCUUUAGUCUGCAUUUAUAACACCAGUGAAACAGUUGAAUGAUUAUGAUUGUCUACUAACUUAUUAGUUACUAACCAUAUUUACCUAGAAAAUACACAUCACCUGUAGGUCAGUUUUUCAGAUUUAUUCUUAAAUUAAAAAAAAACAAAAACAAUUUUUGAACAUAAAAAUCGAUUUAAAAAUUGCAAAACAAAAAAUUACGAUACUUGUAUGAAUCGAUUUUUUUUCUCCCACCCCUAUAAAGUAAUGACAGUUCCAAAGCUAUAUGAGCAAAAGCAGCUGGUGUCACAUGUACAUAACAUCACCUGAAAAGAAUACAAAGUAUCGGUGUUACUGCCUACUACGCAGGUAACCAAAGUCUAUCCAUUGUUAAAGAAAUUACUGUAAUUGAUGCAAUCAAGUUCAUUUACCCGUUUGGCCUGUUCGUGUGGUUUAUAAGUAAUGUAUUUAUUUUUUCCUCACUCAAGUGUUACUAUCCAUGUGAAUCUGUAAUUGGUGCUGUGUCAGUUUUUGAGACUUAUAAACUGUUAUCAUAGUCUAGUAUGGUGUCCAUUGCAUCUUGUCUGUUCAUAGAAAGGCCAUUCAUCCUUCAACAUUUUUGACUUUUUUCCAGACAUCAGCACGACAAAGCUUGAGCUCACACACCCAUCCAUUGACUGCUCCCUGUGCAAUUAAUGCUUAAUAGCGUCUAAGCAUUACAUUUCAGACAUUAAUCAUAGUAAUUUAGUCUCAUUGAUGACAAGCUUAGAGCUACACAAUAGUGAUCAUUUCAGCUAUAAACAAUGGCAAAUUGCAUGGAGGGAUUAUGAGCUCAAAAUAAUGUACAAGCAUUUUAAAGGCCCUUUGGUCAAGGGAUAGAUGACGUUUUAAAGAACUGAAAGAAACAUUUGUCCUCGGUUUGCAUGACAUUAUAUCAUCAAACAACUCAUGGCCAGUUUGAAUAAUGGAGUUUUGAAACAAUCUGCAUCAGCCAAUUCUCGUGCUCCUGAGGCUAAUUACAAAACGCAGACAGAUAAUGUCUGCAGACAGCCUCGUCAGUAUGGCUGCUGUCUACCAGUAGUAACAUCCCUUUAAAUUAUAAAUUUGAAGCAUUGGCCAUUUAAAAACAUUCAGCCAACCACUUAAAUUUAAUGUUGUAGAUUAACCACAGAAAGCUUUUGUUUUUAAUGCAGUAUCCUUGAUUGAUUCAUUUCAGCAUUUUCCUGUAUCAUACUUUCUUCCUGUAAAUAAAAGCACAGGACUGUUAUUUUUUAUUAGACUCCACAGAAGAAUUGCAGCACCUUGUUUCAGUCCUGAGCAAUAUCUGCAGGCCAACACUGACUCUGAGCAAUGUCUGCAAGCCGUACUAACAAACUGCGUGCAGUCUGGAUAAUCCUCGUCAAGAAGUAAAGAGACUAUAUUUUUCUGUUGUGGCAAAAGCCGAGCUCAGAAAAAGAAAAGUCACUCAAUAGUGCUGGUAAAACAUUCUUGCUGUGAUUUAUUAUGGUCGUAGCUGAGAUCUAUUGAGAUGAGAAUUUUUAGAUUUGUAUUCAGUACACACUGAAUAUACACUAACUAAUGUGUGCUGUGUUGUAGAUAAUGUCAUUUAGAACAUAAUUUUUAUUGUGCAUUGCAUGGCUGAACAACUACUACUCAAACAACACUCAUCCUGAAAUCGUAAACAUGUCACACACACACACACACACACACAUUGCAUCUCUGUGUGAAAACAGGAGCAGUAAGGACGCUGACAUGCAUUGCCAUUGACCAGUUGUUAUUCUCAGCAAUUCAUUAGCGCUGACUGCCUAUCAAUGCAUCUCUUUGCUUUCAUUGGCUGAGGCGGGCUUACAACAUGCUCACUCAGCACUUAUUGUGAGACAGAACAACAACGUUACUGCCUUUUGUCUCUGUUGUCUUCAUUUCACCAAUCAUCCUCCCUCCACUGUCUAUUCAUUCACCAAAUC
Xyrichtys novacula (pearly razorfish) is the source of this 7609-nucleotide non-coding RNA. The record is from the annotation of a GenBank genome assembly. Lineage: Eukaryota; Metazoa; Chordata; Actinopteri; Labriformes; Labridae.